Molecule: ribosomal RNA, 1307 nt
Filed under: Morchella sp. Mel-14
Lineage: Eukaryota; Fungi; Ascomycota; Pezizomycetes; Pezizales; Morchellaceae
Description: eukaryotic LSU rRNA
Rfam family: Eukaryotic large subunit ribosomal RNA (bases 664-1307)
Source: RNAcentral
GAUCAUUACCAACAACCACACAGAAAAAGGGAGGCAAAGGGGCCGACAGGAUUAGUAGCUUAUACGUUGUUGAACGUCCUGGCUGGACCCGGAGCCUCCCCCCAUCUAAACCCUCUGCGUACCUGUCCCUUCUUGCUUCCCCCGGCAUCUCUUGUCGGGGGGAGGGAACAACCAAAACUCUUUGUGAAUCAAACAGCCGUCAGAAUUACAAAACAAACAAAAAAGUUAAAACUUUCAACAACGGAUCUCUUGGUUCCCACAUCGAUGAAGAACGCAGCGAAAUGCGAUAAGUAAUGUGAAUUGCAGAAUUCAGUGAAUCAUCGAAUCUUUGAACGCACAUUGCGCCCCCUGGUAUUCCGGGGGGCAUGCCUGUUCGAGCGUCAUAAAAACCUCCUCCCCCUUCGGGUUUUGUUACUAUCGUUGGGGGGUUUUGGCCUAAUGGGAUAGCGUUUGGCAAUUCGUUUCCCAAUGUCCUAAAUAGACGUAGACCCGCCUCCAGAUGCGACAGCACCGAGGCCAUCAACCGUGGAGUUAUGGGAUAUAUAGGCUUGCAGUAAAAUGCUCACCUCUCUUCACACGCCGAUGGCACGACAGUUGCAGUUGCGGGCGUAAACUGGAGACCUUUUCAGGACCCACGUGGCCUAGCAUCCACCAUACAUAAUUUGACCUCGGAUCAGGUAGGGAUACCCGCUGAACUUAAGCAUAUCAAUAAGCGGAGGAAAAGAAACCAACAGGGAUUGCCUCAGUAACGGCGAGUGAAGCGGCAAAAGCUCAAAUUUUAAAGCUGACAUCUUCGGUGUCCGCGUUGUAAUUUUGUGAGGCAUCUCCGGGUAGGGCGCCGGCCUAAGUUCCUUGGAACAGGACGUCACAGAGGGUGAGAAUCCCGUGCUUGGCUGGCUGUCCCCGUCCAUGUGAGGUGUCUUCGACGAGUCGAGUUGUUUGGGAAUGCAGCUCAAAAUGGGUGGUAAAUUUCAUCUAAAGCUAAAUAUUGGUGGGAGACCGAUAGCGCACAAGUAGAGUGAUCGAAAGAUGAAAAGCACUUUGAAAAUAGAGUUAAAAAGUACGUGAAAUUGUUGAAAGGGAAGCGCUUGAGACCAGACUUCGGUAAGGGGUGAUCAGCCGUCCUUCUGGGCGGUGCACUUGCCCCCCUCCGGGCCAGCAUCGGUUGAGGCGGCGGGAUAAAGGUCCCGGGAAUGUGGCUCCUUCACGGGAGUGUUAUAGCCCGGGUGAAUGCCGCCAGCUUCGACCGAGGACCGCACCCGCAAGGGUUAGGAUGCUUGGCAUAAUGGUCUUCAGCGACCCGUCUU